GCUGGCGGCACGCUUAACACAUGCAAGUCGAACGGUAACAGCUCUAUUAUUUCGGUAAUGGAGGCUGACGAGUGGCGGACGGGUGAGUAAUGCGUAGGAAUCUAUCUUGAAGUGGGGGAUAACUUGGGGAAACUCAAGCUAAUACCGCAUAAUACUUUUGUUUUCAAAAAGGAAAUUUGCCUUUCCAUUUCGGUGGGAGGGUGAAGCUUUAAGGUGAGCCUACGUUGGAUUAGCUUGUAGGUGAGGUAAAAGCUCACCUAGGCGACGAUCCAUAGCUGUUCUGAGAGGAAGAUCAGCCACACUGGGACUGAGACACGGCCCAGACUCCUACGGGAGGCAGCAGUGGGGAAUAUUGGACAAUGGGGGCAACCCUGAUCCAGCGAUGCCGCGUGUGUGAAGAAGGCCUACGGGUUGUAAAGCACUUUCAGUGAGGAGGAAAGAUAUUAGUUGAAUACGCUAAUAUUGUGACGUUACUCACAGAAGAAGCACCGGCUAACUCUGUG
Molecule: ribosomal RNA, 503 nt
Filed under: uncultured bacterium
Lineage: Bacteria
Description: bacterial SSU rRNA
Rfam family: Bacterial small subunit ribosomal RNA
Source: RNAcentral